Long non-coding RNA from Corapipo altera (White-ruffed manakin), 224 nucleotides. RefSeq lists it as uncharacterized. The transcript has 3 exons. Lineage: Eukaryota; Metazoa; Chordata; Aves; Passeriformes; Pipridae. The record is from RefSeq and is a predicted model, not a curated record.
AGGGCCAUUUAAGGGUGCCCAGAGAUGGGGGUUUCCCCCAUAUUUGUUUGCUUUUUCUUUCCUAGAAGUUAGAUAAAUUCUCGUCCUUGAGGCUAGCCGGUGCCUGUGCUCUCAGUGGGCUCCUGUCAGAGCUUCCUCCGGAAUGAUUCCAGAGGUGAUGACUGCGGGGAAGAAGUUACCAAUUUCUCAUGUAUGAUGGCUGACAGUGAAGUCAUUUCAAUUCU